GCAGUGGUGCUGCCCCACCCUAAGUCCAACACUGAGUACGGUUGUUUGGACAUGGCCCAAGGAGGGUGAAAGGCCCGUGGGGGUGGGGACCACAGUACUGCUAUGAGUAGACCUUGGAGUCGGGUUGUUUGUGAAUGCAGCCCAAAGUGGGUGGUAAACUCCAUCCAAGGCUAAAUACUGGCACGAGUCCGAUAGCAAACAAGUACCGUGAGGGAAAGUUGAAAAGUACUUUGAAGAGAGAGUAAACAGUACGUGAAACCGUUCAGAGGUAAACGGGUGGAGUUGAACUGCAAGCUCUGAGGAUUCAGCUGGUGAGCGUGGUUUAAGGCAUGGUUAUAACGGUCGUCCGUUCGGGUUCGCUUAACUGCGGGUCUCUGCCUUCGGGUAGGGAUGCUGGGGUACUUACCAAGUACUACGCGCUCGGACGGUACACCGGGCCGGCUUGCCAGUGCACUUUCUCGGAGUAGUCACCACGACCGGCGCUGCUGCUAGGCUGCUGGUGUUAAACCUGUCGUGUAGAGUCCUUGUGGCUCUAUGCGGUGGGGACGGCAGGUGGCUCGUUGGCUUUGUCAUCGAGUGUUAUCAGCUGACACCAGUGGUACUAUGCGGUGCGUCGGAGACGGCGGCUUGUGGUGUGUACGUGUGUGCCUGUUCGCUGACAGUGCUGAGUCUGGUUGUCAUGUGCCUGUAAAAGCAGGCCUGAUGAUGGCUCGGUAUUGUUUGGUGGGCGGUGGCAUGCGGGACACCUGUAAUGAGGGCCAACAGUCUGUGGUGUAGUGGUAGACUUUCCACCCGACCCGUCUUGAAACACGGACCAAGGAGAGUAACAUGUGCGCGAGUCAAUGGGCGUUACGAAACCCAAAGGCGUAGUGAAGGUGAAUGUUCGGCUUGUCCGGACUGAGGUGAGAUCCUGGCGUUUCUCACGCGUGGUAUCGCCAUGCCCUUGAGCGUCAGGCGCAUCACCGGCCCGUCCCAUGGUGUGGAUGUUCUCCUCCGGGUGUUGCAUCCCAUCGGGGUGGAGCAUGAGCGUACAUGUUGAGACCCGAAAGAUGGUGAACU
Molecule: ribosomal RNA, 1059 nt
Filed under: Prosorhynchoides sp. AGLO-2021
Lineage: Eukaryota; Metazoa; Platyhelminthes; Trematoda
Description: partial large subunit ribosomal RNA
Rfam family: Eukaryotic large subunit ribosomal RNA
Source: RNAcentral